CCCUUAGAUGUUCUGGGCCGCACGCGCGCUACACUGAGCCCUUCAUCGAGUUUACAACCUUGGCCGGUAGGUCUGGGUAAUCUUCUCAAAGGGGCUCGUGCUGGGGAUAGAUUAUUGUAAUUUUUAAUCUUCAACGAGGAAUUCCUAGUAAACGCAAGUCAACAGCUUGCAUUGAUUACGUCCCUGCCCUUUGUACACACCGCCCGUCGCUACUACCGAUUGAAUGGCUUAGUGAGCCCGAGGGACUGUUGCACCUAGAGGGUUUUCUCUCCAGGAGCAGCCGGGAACUCGGUCAAACAUGAUCAUUUAGAGGAAGUAAAAGUCGUAACA
RNAcentral lists this ribosomal RNA (330 nucleotides) under uncultured eukaryote. Its description in RNAcentral is "partial 18S ribosomal RNA". It matches the Rfam family "Eukaryotic small subunit ribosomal RNA", at positions 1470 to 1796 of the family's 1831-position model. The record is from RNAcentral.